GACGAACGCUGGCGGCGUGCUUAACACAUGCAAGUCGAACGGAAAGGCCCUGCUUUUGUGGGGUGCUCGAGUGGCGAACGGGUGAGUAACACGUGAGUAACCUGCCCUUGACUUUGGGAUAACUUCAGGAAACUGGGUCUAAUACCGGAUAUGAGCUCCUGCUGCAUGGUGGGGGUUGGAAAGUUUCGGCGGUUGGGGAUGGACUCGCGGCUUAUCAGCUUGUUGGUGUGGUAGUGGCUUACCAAGGCUUUGACGGGUAGCCGGCCUGAGAGGGUGACCGGCCACAUUGGGACUGAGAUACGGCCCAGACUCCUACGGGAGGCAGAAGUGGGGAAUAUUGCACAAUGGGCGGAAGCCUGAUGCAGCAACGCCGCGUGCGGGAUGACGGCCUUCGGGUUGUAAACCGCUUUCGCCUGUGACGAAGCGUGAGUGACGGUAAUGGGUAAAGAAGCACCGGCUAACUACGUG
RNAcentral lists this ribosomal RNA (468 nucleotides) under uncultured bacterium. Its description in RNAcentral is "partial 16S ribosomal RNA". It matches the Rfam family "Bacterial small subunit ribosomal RNA", at positions 28 to 507 of the family's 1533-position model. The record is from RNAcentral.